CCCGAAGCGGUGCCCGUGGCGGUGCCGGGCCCCCGCCUGCCCCGUCCCCGCCCGCGGUGGGUGCCGCCGGGGAGCGGGGCUGCCGCGGUCGCCGGAGCCCCCCGUCCAUGCGAGUGCCCUCUCCGCUCAGCAGCAUGCUUUACUUCCAGAUGGUGAUCAUGGCAGGGACCGUGAUGCUGGCUUACUACUUCGAGUACACCGACACCUUCGCCGUCAACGUGCAGGGCUUCUUCUGCUACGAGGGCGCGUACCGCAAACCCUACCCGGGCCCGGAGGACAGUAGCGCCGUGCCCCCGGUGCUCCUCUACUCGCUGACGGCGGGCGUGCCCGUGCUGGUGAUUAUCGUUGGAGAAACUGCAGUGUUUUGCCUACAGUUAGCUACAAAGGAUUUUGAAAACCAAGAAAAAACAAUAUUAACUGGAGACUGUUGUUAUAUAAAUCCACUGGUGCGCAGAACCGUCAGAUUCCUUGGAAUUUACGCAUUUGGACUGUUUGCUACGGACAUCUUUGUAAACGCUGGACAAGUAGUAACAGGGAAUCUCGCACCACAUUUUCUUGCACUUUGUAAACCCAACUAUACAGCACUUGGAUGUAAACAGUAUACACAAUUCAUCAGUAGUGCACAAGCCUGUACAGGAAACCCAGACCUUAUCAUGAAAGCCAGAAAGACAUUCCCAUCCAAAGAAGCAGCACUAAGCGUAUAUGCAGCUAUGUAUCUGGCUAUGUAUAUCACCAGCACAGUAAAAGCCAGAGGAACAAGGCUUGCAAAACCUGUUCUGUGUUUGGGCUUAAUGUGCUUAGCUUUCCUCACUGGAAUCAACAGAGUAGCAGAGUAUCGAAAUCACUGGUCAGAUGUAAUAGCAGGAUUUGUAAUUGGAAUAUCUAUAGCAGUAUUUUUGGUUGUUUGUGUGGUAAAUAACUUCAGAGGACGUCAGCCAGAACAUGAACAUUCUCAUAUGGAUAAUCUGGCCCAGAUGCCCAUGAUCAGCAUACCCCGAGUAGAAAGCCCUUUAGAAAAGGAACUUCGAAUUUCUUCCACGGUGUAGCCAUGAUGUGAUGUGGACAGGCAGACUGUUCUACAUCCCCACCUGGAUACGCAGUUUAAACAUCACCCUCUAAAGCCCCAAAGAAACUGUGUGUUGUAUCAAGGCAAGGGUUGGACCUAGGGUCUAAAGACAGCGUUAUGCCACACUUCUUCAUCUCGACUAGAAAGGUUUAAGAUCUACUUUUCCACAGCUGAAAAGAAAUAUAAAUACCAUCUUCUUCAGCUGACAUGAGAGCAGAAAUCAAAGAAUGCCCUGGUCUCUGAACUACAAAUCCACCUAGUGUGUUCCUGAUUUAUGAGGUGUACAUUGUUACAAUUUAUCCUACCAAUUAAAUAUGGUCCUGAAUCCAUUUUCUUACACUGAUCUCACUGAGGCAGCUAGUGCGAUAAAUUAAAUCUUACAUCAGUGGUUCCUGCAGGACAGCACAAUGUUCAACAGACAUCAUACAGCUGGCCAGAAGGUGUAAGCUAGACACUGCCAGGGCAGAGCACUAAUGGACACGAACAGGGCGACUUGUAGCCAAAGGAACUUGGCCCAAAAGCCGAACUACCCGCUGAAGAAAACGGAGUGCAUGCACCUUGUCUGAGGACUCCAUGAGAUUAUACCAGAAGUACUUUCUGAAAAGGCCAUGUCCUGCCAGGCAAUGUCCCUUCCCUACGGUGAACAGCAGUAAGACCAGCUGCUAUACAAGUUGUAUGAAAUUGCCACUCAUCACUGAGUCACUCUGUGCAAAUGCAGUCGUUUUUAGCAAGUUGCCAACAAACCAUACAAAUGGGAAGUACUGAUAAAAGGGAUGCAAUGUUGAAAAGUUGAUCUAACUAGCUGUGUACAAAUAACUUAAGCAGUGACCUGUAACACUCCUUUUUGCCAAAACAAAUUAUUAAUAUAUAUUGUGCUUUCACAUACAACGCAACUAAUAGACCUGUCUAUGAUACAGCCACUGUGAGACCUCACUUAGCAAUUAAUUGUCCAGUGCAUAGACAGAUAUAUCUUAUAGAUAGGCUGAGACUAGAAAUAUUUAAGUAAAGGUUUGCUGGAAGAUGGUCUUUGCUUAUUCCUAUAAAUGUGAAAUUAGUGUUAUAUAACAUGUUAAUUUAUUUCCAAGAGAAACUGUAUUUCAGUCACCUUUUAUGUGACAUUCCCUAUAAACCUGGGGGAGCAAAGAGCAGAUGUGGUUCUCCUGGCAGCCAGCGAUCUCUCUGACCCCUGCUGGCUGGUUCCUGGCUGCAGCGAUGCCCCUGAACAUCCCUGCUACCCUGGGCCAGGGAAACCGUACGAGCCCCCACGCUCCCUCCAACUCCACUCUCCCUCCAACUCCACUCUCCGUGUUGCCCAGAGGCUGCCCCCUCCCCACCUUUCAGUUUUACAGAUUUGGCCUGCAUCCACCAAGCCCUUCAUGACGGUGCUCUGCCCGCGCGGGGCAGGCAGGACAGCCAGGAGACAAACCUGGGGCUCGGGCCCCAUGGCUGGAGCAGCUGGGGAGACACGGUGGGCUGGGCGAGGAGCCGGCAGCACGGAAAUACGAUGGCAUUGCUGGUAGCUGCAGCUGGCAGAGGACCAAGACCUGUCCUCUGUGCCCCAGCUCCGAGCAUCGGGGGCUUCUCUGCCUCCUCGCAUUUUGUAAGAGCUUUAAACUUUAUCCCUAAACUAAGGACAGGAGAAGCAGCUGAGGAAGCAGAGAAACAAAAACAGAUGAGAGAGCAAAAAGGCAGUAAAAUUUAAGUAAACAGAAUUUCUGCUUCAGGAGAAAAAAUUUUAAAAAAUAGGUGUAUUUACUGACUGUCCCACUGCAGUACACAGAGGCAAAUUAUGAAAUACACUGUAGACAUCACAGAUUUAGAUAGUGGUAAUAUAUUCUUAUUUAUUCAUUUAAUUGACAAGAAAUCAAAUGAAAAUAUGCACUUCAGCUGCCAAAAACUACCUAAACAGCUCAUCUUUACAUGAAAGCUAAUUACAACAACCCUAAUAAAAAAUGUCUGAAAUGUCAAGGACUUUCUCCAUCGAUAUACUAGAAAGUUGCAGUAAUUAUUAUCUAGUCAUUUUUAUAUAUUAUUUACACUGUAUAAUGCUUGGUGUUAACACUGGGCUAAAAGGACAUUAUUUAGGCUGUAGAGCUCAACUAUUAAAAAUUUUAAAAAAUGCCAGUUCUGCUCUCCACCAUAGCUCUAAGCUGCAUAGGUGGUAACGGAGGAGUGCAGAAAAGGUGUCCCAGCAUUGGUGCCGACAUUGCACAAGAGUAGGCUGAGGCCAGAAGUGAGCCAGUGGCAACAGUGGGCAGGCCAGCACUGAGGCCGUGCAAAUUUAUCCCAAAAUUCCUUUAAGUCAUCCCACUGAACUUCACUGGUGGCUUUCAGCAUGCCUGCUUCCAUGAGUUACUACAGGUAUGGUCUCACUGCACUAGAAUGAAGAUGUCCGACUGCUA
This is an RNA transcript of Cygnus olor (mute swan), 3468 nucleotides long. It is a transcript of the gene named phospholipid phosphatase related 5, with no coding region annotated. NCBI's taxonomy places the organism in Eukaryota, Metazoa, Chordata, Aves, Anseriformes, Anatidae. The transcript is spliced from 7 exons. The record is from RefSeq and is a predicted model, not a curated record.